RNAcentral lists this ribosomal RNA (253 nucleotides) under uncultured bacterium. RNAcentral describes it as "partial 16S ribosomal RNA". It matches the Rfam family "Bacterial small subunit ribosomal RNA", at positions 524 to 776 of the family's 1533-position model. The record is from RNAcentral.
UACGUAGGGCGCAAGCGUUGUCCGGAAUUAUUGGGCGUAAAGAGCUCGUAGGCGGUUUGUUACGUCCGCUGUGAAAACCCAGGGCUUAACCCUGGGCUUGCAGUGGAUACGGGCAGACUAGAGGCAGGUAGGGGAGAAUGGAAUUCCCGGUGUAGCGGUGAAAUGCGCAGAUAUCGGGAGGAACACCGGUGGCGAAGGCGGUUCUCUGGGCCUGACCUGACGCUGAGGAGCGAAAGCGUGGGGAGCGAGCAGG